UAGGCGUAAAUGAUGCGAGUUAAGUGUGGGGCGAUCUACGAGAUGGCCCUGUGCUGUAGGGUAGCCGUUAAACUCGCUGCCUGGGGAGUACGGUCGCAAGGCUGAAACUUAAAGGAAUUGGCGGGGGAGCACCGCAACGGGAGGAGCGUGCGGUUCAAUUGGAUUCAACGCCGGACAACUCACCAGGAGCGACGGUUACAUGAAGGCCAGGCUGAUGACCUUGCCUGAUUUUCCGAGAGGUGGUGCAUGUCGUAGUCGUGU
This 261-nucleotide ribosomal RNA is filed under the name uncultured archaeon. RNAcentral describes it as "partial 16S ribosomal RNA". It matches the Rfam family "Archaeal small subunit ribosomal RNA", at positions 748 to 1009 of the family's 1478-position model. The record is from RNAcentral.